CUACGGGGGGCAGCAGUGAGGAAUAUUGCACAAUGGGGGAAACCCUGAUGCAGCAACGCCGCGUGGAGGAUGACGCAUUUCGGUGUGUAAACUCCUUUUAUGAGUCAAGAAAAUGACGGUAGCUCAUGAAUAAGCACCGGCUAACUCCGUGCCAGCAGCCGCGGUAAUACGGAGGGUGCAAGCGUUACUCGGAAUCACUGGGCGUAAAGGACGCGUAGGCGGGCUUGUAAGUCAGGUGUGAAAUCCUACAGCUUAACUGUAGAACUGCACUUGAAACUACGAGCCUAGAGUAUGGGAGGGGCAGAUGGAAUUAGUGGUGUAGGGGUAAAAUCCGUAGAUAUCACUAGGAAUACCGAAAGCGAAGGCGAUCUGCUGGAACAUUACUGACGCUAAGGCGUGAAAGCGUGGGGAGCAAACGGGAUUAGAUACCCGUGUAGUC
Molecule: ribosomal RNA, 439 nt
Filed under: uncultured bacterium
Lineage: Bacteria
Description: partial 16S ribosomal RNA
Rfam family: Bacterial small subunit ribosomal RNA
Source: RNAcentral